AUACAAAAUGCUAUGCCAAUCCUUAACAUAUCAAGCAAACACACAAAUCUGUUUGAGAAGACGUCAAUUGAAUUUCAGUUAAUCGACGGAAACUUGCAAAGCAAGUCACCCAACAGAAGGAAACAGAGGCAGCACAGUGGGAUUUCAAACGGAGAGGGAUGCUCCAACCAUGGUUUCGAAUCGGGACAUCUAAGCUUUGAAAGCAAAUGGCCGGCGCAUUGUUGAUUAUUUGUUUUGCCCCCCUGCAAAAUCAUAACAAAUAAUAAUAAACAAUGCACAGCUGUUUACUUUUAAGCUUCUAAGCUUAUCCUAAACUCUUCUGGUGCUUUCACCUUGUACAUGUUCUUAGAACAAGCUCAAAAUCCUUUGACCGGUUCAUCUAUCUUUUUAGGUUAUGGCAGGUCCCCAGGAUGAGGGUUGUCUAAAUUUUUUUCUCUCUUCUAAGUUAUGCCACAGGUUCUAUGAAAGGGGGCUUGCUAAAAAAUUUAUACACCUCUUGUAAAAUUAUACUAGCUUGGUCCUAUGGAGGGGCGUCCAAUUUUUUUAUCUAUAUCUCUCUUCUUGGACUAUGCCAGGUUUAUGAAGAUGGGUUUGCUAAGUUUUCUCUAUUUAUAUCCCUGUUCUUCUGGGUCCUUAAGGCCACAAGUUGUAAUUGCAUUAUUUGCGCUAGAAAUUGUGUGCAGAGAGCAAGGUUAAGGAAUUUGGAAGGUGCUGUUUUCAGACAAUGUCACAGACAACUCGUUUCCAACUUGCUGGCAACUUUUCAAAGCAGAAAAAAAUGGUGGAGAAAGUGAAAAUGCCAGGGAUUGAGACGGUUGAAUUGGGUGAACAUAAUUGGGUUACAUUUGUGCACGAUCCCAGUACAACUGAUGCACAACUAAGAAGCCGUCUGGAAGCUAUGAGUUUGCGUAUCAUUCAGACAGUAAUUACAAAGAAAAAGAACUGAUGAUGAACGGAGUGGAAUGGUGUGGCUGACUGUUUGGCUAAGUGGGCGUCCAAGUAUAUGCAGGAUUGGAAUAUUACGGAUCAGAGGCAUCUUCCCCUUGAAUUAUCUCACGAAUUGGAUCAACUUGUUGCUCAGGAUAAAGCUCAUUAGAGCUCAUUGAUCAACCACUGAUGCAAUGUCAAUAUUCAGAGAUUAAAGAAGCUUUUACAUAAAGCAUGGAUGAAAGAAACAACUUGAUCAUUGUAAUUUUUUUUAUAAUUUAUGCAAUAAAAAACUGCUGAUUUAUUAUUUGUGGUGGACAAAUAUGCUAUUCCAUGGAGAUUUGUUUUUACCCAGAAAAAGUAAUAAUUCUUUUUUCGACCUUUGUGAGAGAAUGAUAAUGCC
Long non-coding RNA from Cryptomeria japonica (Japanese cedar), 1330 nucleotides. RefSeq lists it as uncharacterized. The transcript is spliced from 4 exons. Lineage: Eukaryota; Viridiplantae; Streptophyta; Pinopsida; Cupressales; Cupressaceae. The record is from RefSeq and is a predicted model, not a curated record.